GACGAACGCUGGCGGCGUGCUUAACACAUGCAAGUCGAACGGUAAGGCCCUUCGGGGUACACGGGUGGCGAACGGGUGAGUAACACGUGGGGGAUCUGCCCUGCACUUCGGGAUAAGCCUGGGAACCUGGUUCUAAUACCGGAUAGGACCACUGCCUGCAUGGGGGGUGGUGGAAAGCUUUUGCGGUGUGGGAUGGGCCCGCGGCCUAUCAGCUUGUUGGUGGGGUGAUGGCCUACCAAGGCGACGACGGGUAGCCGGCCUGCGAGGGUGACCGGCCACACUGGGACUGAGAUACGGCCCAGACUCCUACGGGAGGCAGCAGUGGGGAAUAUUGCACAAUGGGCGCAAGCCUGAUGCAGCGACGCCGCGUGAGGGAUGACGGCCUUCGGGUUGUAAACCUCUUUCAGCACCGACGUAGCGCAAGUGACGGUAGGUGCAGAAGAAGGACCGGCCAACUACGUGCCAGCCGCCGCGGUAA
This 478-nucleotide ribosomal RNA is filed under the name uncultured bacterium. Its description in RNAcentral is "partial 16S ribosomal RNA". It matches the Rfam family "Bacterial small subunit ribosomal RNA", at positions 28 to 523 of the family's 1533-position model. The record is from RNAcentral.